This 503-nucleotide ribosomal RNA is filed under the name uncultured bacterium. Its description in RNAcentral is "bacterial SSU rRNA". It matches the Rfam family "Bacterial small subunit ribosomal RNA", at positions 1 to 504 of the family's 1533-position model. The record is from RNAcentral.
CCCUUAGAGUUUGAUCCUGGCUCAGGAUGAACGCUGGCGGCGUGCUUAACACAUGCAAGUCGAACGAAGCAUUUGCGACAGAUUUCUUCGGAUUGAAGUUGCUUAUGACUGAGUGGCGGACGGGUGAGUAACGCGUGGGUAACCUGCCUCACACAGGGGGAUAGCAGUUGGAAACGGCUGAUAAUACCGCAUAAGCGCACAGUACCGCAUGGUACAGUGUGAAAAACUCCGGUGGUGUGAGAUGGACCCGCGUCUGAUUAGCUUGUUGGCAGGGUAACGGCCUACCAAGGCAACGAUCAGUAGCCGACCUGAGAGGGUGACCGGCCACAUUGGGACUGAGACACGGCCCAGACUCCUACGGGAGGCAGCAGUGGGGAAUAUUGCACAAUGGAGGAAACUCUGAUGCAGCGACGCCGCGUGAGUGAAGAAGUAAUUCGUUAUGUAAAGCUCUAUCAGCAGGGAAGAUAGUGACGGUACCUGACUAAGAAGCUCCGGCUAAUCGU